This 2902-nucleotide ribosomal RNA is filed under the name Klebsiella pneumoniae. RNAcentral describes it as "23S ribosomal RNA". It matches the Rfam family "Bacterial large subunit ribosomal RNA". RNAcentral also lists the same sequence under 3 other names. Lineage: Bacteria; Pseudomonadati; Pseudomonadota; Gammaproteobacteria; Enterobacterales; Enterobacteriaceae. The record is from RNAcentral.
GGUUAAGCGACUAAGCGUACACGGUGGAUGCCCUGGCAGUCAGAGGCGAUGAAGGACGUGCUAAUCUGCGAAAAGCGUCGGUAAGGUGAUAUGAACCGUUACAGCCGGCGAUGUCCGAAUGGGGAAACCCAGUGCAAUUCGUUGCACUAUCGUUAACUGAAUACAUAGGUUAACGAGGCGAACCGGGGGAACUGAAACAUCUAAGUACCCCGAGGAAAAGAAAUCAACCGAGAUUCCCCCAGUAGCGGCGAGCGAACGGGGAGCAGCCCAGAGUCUGAAUCAGCUUGUGUGUUAGUGGAACGGUCUGGAAAGUCCGACGGUACAGGGUGAUAGUCCCGUACACCAAAAUGCACAGGCUGUGAACUCGAAGAGUAGGGCGGGACACGUGGUAUCCUGUCUGAAUAUGGGGGGACCAUCCUCCAAGGCUAAAUACUCCUGACUGACCGAUAGUGAACCAGUACCGUGAGGGAAAGGCGAAAAGAACCCCGGCGAGGGGAGUGAAAAAGAACCUGAAACCGUGUACGUACAAGCAGUGGGAGCACCUUCGGGUGUGACUGCGUACCUUUUGUAUAAUGGGUCAGCGACUUAUAUUCUGUAGCAAGGUUAACCGUAUAGGGGAGCCGCAGGGAAACCGAGUCUUAACUGGGCGUUAAGUUGCAGGGUAUAGACCCGAAACCCGGUGAUCUAGCCAUGGGCAGGUUGAAGGUUGGGUAACACUAACUGGAGGACCGAACCGACUAAUGUUGAAAAAUUAGCGGAUGACUUGUGGCUGGGGGUGAAAGGCCAAUCAAACCGGGAGAUAGCUGGUUCUCCCCGAAAGCUAUUUAGGUAGCGCCUCGUGAAUUCAUCUUCGGGGGUAGAGCACUGUUUCGGCUAGGGGGUCAUCCCGACUUACCAACCCGAUGCAAACUACGAAUACCGAAGAAUGUUAUCACGGGAGACACACGGCGGGUGCUAACGUCCGUCGUGAAGAGGGAAACAACCCAGACCGCCAGCUAAGGUCCCAAAGUCAUGGUUAAGUGGGAAACGAUGUGGGAAGGCACAGACAGCCAGGAUGUUGGCUUAGAAGCAGCCAUCAUUUAAAGAAAGCGUAAUAGCUCACUGGUCGAGUCGGCCUGCGCGGAAGAUGUAACGGGGCUAAACCAUGCACCGAAGCUGCGGCAGCGACACUAUGUGUUGUUGGGUAGGGGAGCGUUCUGUAAGCCUGCGAAGGUGACCUGUGAGGGUUGCUGGAGGUAUCAGAAGUGCGAAUGCUGACAUAAGUAACGAUAAAGCGGGUGAAAAGCCCGCUCGCCGGAAGACCAAGGGUUCCUGUCCAACGUUAAUCGGGGCAGGGUGAGUCGACCCCUAAGGCGAGGCCGAAAGGCGUAGUCGAUGGGAAACAGGUUAAUAUUCCUGUACUUGGUGUUACUGCGAAGGGGGGACGGAGAAGGCUAUGUUAGCCGGGCGACGGUUGUCCCGGUUUAAGCAUGUAGGCUGGUUAUCCAGGCAAAUCCGGAUAAUCAAGGCUGAGGUGUGAUGACGAGGCACUACGGUGCUGAAGUAACAAAUGCCCUGCUUCCAGGAAAAGCCUCUAAGCAUCAGGUAACAUCAAAUCGUACCCCAAACCGACACAGGUGGUCAGGUAGAGAAUACCAAGGCGCUUGAGAGAACUCGGGUGAAGGAACUAGGCAAAAUGGUGCCGUAACUUCGGGAGAAGGCACGCUGGUGUGUAGGUGAAGUCCCUGCGGAUGGAGCUGAGACCAGUCGAAGAUACCAGCUGGCUGCAACUGUUUAUUAAAAACACAGCACUGUGCAAACACGAAAGUGGACGUAUACGGUGUGACGCCUGCCCGGUGCCGGAAGGUUAAUUGAUGGGGUUAUCCGUAAGGAGAAGCUCUUGAUCGAAGCCCCGGUAAACGGCGGCCGUAACUAUAACGGUCCUAAGGUAGCGAAAUUCCUUGUCGGGUAAGUUCCGACCUGCACGAAUGGCGUAAUGAUGGCCAGGCUGUCUCCACCCGAGACUCAGUGAAAUUGAACUCGCUGUGAAGAUGCAGUGUACCCGCGGCAAGACGGAAAGACCCCGUGAACCUUUACUAUAGCUUGACACUGAACAUUGAGCCUUGAUGUGUAGGAUAGGUGGGAGGCUUUGAAGCGUGGACGCCAGUCUGCGUGGAGCCAACCUUGAAAUACCACCCUUUAAUGUUUGAUGUUCUAACGUUGGCCCCUUACCGGGGUUGCGGACAGUGUCUGGUGGGUAGUUUGACUGGGGCGGUCUCCUCCCAAAGCGUAACGGAGGAGCACGAAGGUUAGCUAAUCCUGGUCGGACAUCAGGAGGUUAGUGCAAUGGCAUAAGCUAGCUUGACUGCGAGCGUGACGGCGCGAGCAGGUGCGAAAGCAGGUCAUAGUGAUCCGGUGGUUCUGAAUGGAAGGGCCAUCGCUCAACGGAUAAAAGGUACUCCGGGGAUAACAGGCUGAUACCGCCCAAGAGUUCAUAUCGACGGCGGUGUUUGGCACCUCGAUGUCGGCUCAUCACAUCCUGGGGCUGAAGUAGGUCCCAAGGGUAUGGCUGUUCGCCAUUUAAAGUGGUACGCGAGCUGGGUUUAGAACGUCGUGAGACAGUUCGGUCCCUAUCUGCCGUGGGCGCUGGAGAAUUGAGGGGGGCUGCUCCUAGUACGAGAGGACCGGAGUGGACGCAUCACUGGUGUUCGGGUUGUCAUGCCAAUGGCACUGCCCGGUAGCUAAAUGCGGAAGAGAUAAGUGCUGAAAGCAUCUAAGCACGAAACUUGCCCCGAGAUGAGUUCUCCCUGAGACUUUAAGUCUCCUGAAGGAACGUUGAAGACGACGACGUUGAUAGGCCGGGUGUGUAAGCGCAGCGAUGCGUUGAGCUAACCGGUACUAAUGAACCGUGAGGCUUAACCUU